RNAcentral lists this ribosomal RNA (242 nucleotides) under uncultured bacterium. RNAcentral describes it as "partial 16S ribosomal RNA". It matches the Rfam family "Bacterial small subunit ribosomal RNA", at positions 45 to 334 of the family's 1533-position model. The record is from RNAcentral.
AUGCCUAACACAUGCAAGUCGAACGAAGGCUUCGGCCUUAGUGGCGCACGGGUGCGUAACGCGUGGGAAUCUGCCCUCAGGUUCGGAAUAACAGCGAGAAAUUGCUGCUAAUACCGGAUGAUAUCGCGAGAUCAAAGAUUUAUCGCCUUUAGCUAGUUGGUGUGGUAAAGGCGCACCAAGGCGACGAUCCUUAGCUGGUCUGAGAGGAUGAUCAGCCACACUGGGACUGAGACACGGCCCAG